RNAcentral lists this long non-coding RNA (2284 nucleotides) under Citrus sinensis (sweet orange). RNAcentral's name for it is "long non-coding RNA (CSIN_LNC002173)". Lineage: Eukaryota; Viridiplantae; Streptophyta; Magnoliopsida; Sapindales; Rutaceae. The record is from RNAcentral.
AAAAUUUAGGUGUUGGACUCCCCUUCGGCUUCACAUGGCCAGCCCUAAUUUCUUAAUCCAAACCUAAUCACACACAAAUACACAAUCACGCUGCCUACAAUAGAUUUGGUCAUCUGCUGUGCUGCUUGCCGACAACAAAUUGCUGCUCUUCGUCUUCGUCUUCGUCUUCGUCCUCAUCCCCGAUCUCUAGCUUGCUGGCUAUUCCCAUUUCCUUUUGUUUCGCAACUUAAUGGUUGUUGCCGGUAGCCUGCUACCUUCUUCAACUCCGAGCUAUAGCUAAUGCCUUCUUAAUUUAGAUUUUCUUCAAGUUCGAGUUGCUGCUACUGUAUUCUUUUGUGAGAGGUAAGCUGAUGGGUUCUUUCAUUUGUACACUAGGGUUUGGGGUUCUCUGAUCAGAAUAUAUCGGCUGGUCUGGUGAUUGCUCAACCGCCGUCGAUUUUUGAGGUGCCGCCCAGGUUGAGCCCCGCAAUUCUACUUGACUCGCUAAAUUUCAGUUUGUUUUCGCCUACACAGGUAAUUCAAUUUAACUUUGUCUGACCUAAAGUUUCUUCAUUUAUUCAUUAGAUUUUAGCUUGUUUAGGAAAGCUUUCAUUUUUAUUGGGUUUCGCAUUUAAAUUCUAAUAAUCCUUGGGUUUGAAUUUUGAUUUUUUUUUUUUUGGAGGGAUGGAAAAUUUUCUUCAUUGCCUUGAUUUGUUAGCAGUCGGUUGGAAUUUUGAAUUAGAGCUUGCUGAAGCAUUUAUUAUAGAAUUUAUAAAUGUGCCCUGUAAUUGGGAUAAAAACUCUUGACUUAAUUAAUCUGACAGAAGAACAUUUUGAGCAAUGUUGUAAUGUGAUUGUGCAUUGCUGAGAUAAUCUCAUCUUGUUUUGGUAUUCUAACCAAUAAAAAAAAAUUUAAGUGUUGGACUCCCCUUCGGCUUCACAUGGCAAGCCCUAAUUUCUUAAUCCAAACCUAAUCACACACAAAUACACAAUCACGCUGCCUACAAUAGAUUUGGUCAUCUGCUGUGCUGCUUGCCGACAACAAAUUGCUGCUCUUCGUCUUCGUCUUCGUCUUCGUCCUCAUCCCCGAUCUCUAGCUUGCUGGCUAUUCCCAUUUCCUUUUGUUUCGCAACUUAAUGGUUGUUGCCGGUAGCCUGCUACCUUCUUCAACUCCGAGCUAUAGCUAAUGCCUUCUUAAUUUAGAUUUUCUUCAAGUUCGAGUUGCUGCUACUGUAUUCUUUUGUGAGAGGUAAGCUGAUGGGUUCUUUCAUUUGUACACUAGGGUUUGGGGUUCUCUGAUCAGAAUAUAUCGGCUGGUCUGGUGAUUGCUCAACCGCCGUCGAUUUUUGAGGUGCCGCCCAGGUUGAGCCCCGCAAUUCUGCUUGACUCGCUAAAUUUCAGUUUGUUUUCGCCUACACAGGUAAUUCAAUUUAACUUUGUCUGACCUAAAGUUUCUUCAUUUAUUCAUUAGAUUUUAGCUUGUUUAGGAAAGCUUUCAUUUUUAUUGGGUUUCGCAUUUAAAUGCUAAUAAUCCUUGGGUUUGAAUUUUGAUUUUUUUUUUUUUGGAGGGAUGGAAAAUUUUCUUCAUUGCCUUGAUUUGUUAGCAGUCGGUUGGAAUUUUGAAUUAGAGCUUGCUGAAGCAUUUAUUAUAGAAUUUAUAAAUGUGCCCUGUAAUUGGGAUAAAAACUCUUGACUUAAUUAAUCUGACAGAAGAACAUUUUGAGCAAUGUUGUAAUGUGAUUGUGCAUUGCUGAGAUAAUCUCAUCUUGUUUUGGUAUUCUAAGUAUCCAAAUGGACUGGAUAGUAGGCUAUCCAGGUCAAGUUUUAAUGGUAAUUGGGCAUUUUUCUUUCCUGAUUUUAGUUUCAUCUCUUUUUAGAUGAAGCAUAUGGUUAAUGCAAACAAUUAACGAAAGAAAAGCUCUUGGUAUUACUAGUGUUGGAGAUCCAAUUGUCUUCAUGUAAACUGUGAACACUUUUAACUCCCAUAUCUAAGAUAUAGAGAUCUUUAUGUAGCUUUAAGCCAAAUAUGUGAGAAAUUCUCCAAUCUAGUCACAACUUUAUUAGCAACCAAGAAUGAAAGAGUAUUAGCUUCCAGUUAUAAUUUGAUGACCGGAGCUUGAAUGAGUGAGUGAUAACUUGUAUUGUCUAUAUUGCUUUGUAUGUCAUGCCUCACUGGCAUUAUGUUACUUGGGUAUCCAAAUUUUGCGUUUAUCUAUUACUAAUUUCCCUGAUUCAUUGGAUGCAACCUAGGGAGCCUUUAGAAUGAAGCACUAGCAGGCCCUAGCACAGGUCACUGCCCAAGCUG